Molecule: ribosomal RNA, 1351 nt
Filed under: Psychrobacter sp.
Lineage: Bacteria; Pseudomonadati; Pseudomonadota; Gammaproteobacteria; Moraxellales; Moraxellaceae
Description: bacterial SSU rRNA
Rfam family: Bacterial small subunit ribosomal RNA
Source: RNAcentral
GAUAGCUUGCUAUCAGGCGUCGAGCGGCGGACGGGUGAGUAAUACUUAGGAAUCUACCUAGUAGUGGGGGAUAGCACGGGGAAACUCGUAUUAAUACCGCAUACGACCUACGGGAGAAAGGGGGCAGUUUACUGCUCUCGCUAUUAGAUGAGCCUAAGUCGGAUUAGCUAGAUGGUGGGGUAAAGGCCUACCAUGGCGACGAUCUGUAGCUGGUCUGAGAGGAUGAUCAGCCACACCGGGACUGAGACACGGCCCGGACUCCUACGGGAGGCAGCAGUGGGGAAUAUUGGACAAUGGGGGAAACCCUGAUCCAGCCAUGCCGCGUGUGUGAAGAAGGCCUUUUGGUUGUAAAGCACUUUAAGCAGUGAAGAAGACUCCGUGGUUAAUACCCACGGACGAUGACAUUAGCUGCAGAAUAAGCACCGGCUAACUCUGUGCCAGCAGCCGCGGUAAUACAGAGGGUGCAAGCGUUAAUCGGAAUUACUGGGCGUAAAGGGAGCGUAGGUGGCUCGAUAAGUCAGAUGUGAAAUCCCCGGGCUCAACCUGGGAACUGCAUCUGAUACUGUUGAGCUAGAGUAUGUGAGAGGAAGGUAGAAUUCCAGGUGUAGCGGUGAAAUGCGUAGAGAUCUGGAGGAAUACCGAUGGCGAAGGCAGCCUUCUGGCAUAAUACUGACACUGAGGCUCGAAAGCGUGGGUAGCAAACAGGAUUAGAUACCCUGGUAGUCCACGCCGUAAACGAUGUCUACUAGUCGUUGGGUCCCUUGAGGACUUAGUGACGCAGCUAACGCAAUAAGUAGACCGCCUGGGGAGUACGGCCGCAAGGUUAAAACUCAAAUGAAUUGACGGGGGCCCGCACAAGCGGUGGAGCAUGUGGUUUAAUUCGAUGCAACGCGAAGAACCUUACCUGGUCUUGACAUAUCUAGAAUCCUGCAGAGAUGCGGGAGUGCCUUCGGGAAUUAGAAUACAGGUGCUGCAUGGCUGUCGUCAGCUCGUGUCGUGAGAUGUUGGGUUAAGUCCCGCAACGAGCGCAACCCUUGUCCUUAGUUACCAGCGGGUUAAGCCGGGAACUCUAAGGAUACUGCCAGUGACAAACUGGAGGAAGGCGGGGACGACGUCAAGUCAUCAUGGCCCUUACGACCAGGGCUACACACGUGCUACAAUGGUAGGUACAGAGGGCAGCUACACAGCGAUGUGAUGCGAAUCUCAAAAAGCCUAUCGUAGUCCAGAUUGGAGUCUGCAACUCGACUCCAUGAAGUAGGAAUCGCUAGUAAUCGCGGAUCAGAAUGCCGCGGUGAAUACGUUCCCGGGCCUUGUACACACCGCCCGUCACACCAUGGGAGUUGAUUGCACC